CCUACGGGAGGCAGCAGUAGGGAAUCUUCCACAAUGGGCGAAAGCCUGAUGGAGCAACGCCGCGUGGGUGAAGAAGGUCUUCGGAUCGUAAAACCCUGUUGUUAGAGAAGAAAGUGCGUGAGAGUAACUGUUCACGUUUCGACGGUAUCUAACCAGAAAGCCACGGCUAACUACGUGCCAGCAGCCGCGGUAAUACGUAGGUGGCAAGCUUUAUCCGGAUUUAUUGGGCGUAAAGGGAACGCAGGCGGUCUUUUAAGUCUGAUGGGAAAGCCUUCGGCUUAACCGGAGUAGUGCAUUGGAAACUGGGAGACUUGAGUGCAGAAGAGGAGAGUGGAACUCCAUGUGUAGCGGUGAAAUGCGUAGAUAUAUGGAAGAACACCAGUGGCGAAAGCGGCUCUCUGGUCUGUAACUGACGCUGAGGUUCGAAAGCGUGGGUAGCAAACAGGAUUAGAUACCCGAGUAGUC
Molecule: ribosomal RNA, 465 nt
Filed under: uncultured bacterium
Lineage: Bacteria
Description: partial 16S ribosomal RNA
Rfam family: Bacterial small subunit ribosomal RNA
Source: RNAcentral